Long non-coding RNA from Anolis carolinensis (green anole), 2471 nucleotides. Lineage: Eukaryota; Metazoa; Chordata; Lepidosauria; Squamata; Anolidae. The record is from Ensembl.
GUUCAGGGUUAUUGUAUGUUUUCUGGGCUGUAUGGCCAUGUUUCAGAAGUAUUCUCUCCUGACGUUUUGUCAACAUCUAUGGCAGGCAUCCUCAGAGGUUGUGAGCUUUUUGUUGUUCCAUUGUCUGUGCAGAUAUAGAGAAUGUCUGGUUUGGCGACUCUAGAACACACAACAUAUAAUUGUCCAGGUGAGAAGCAAUUUGUGUGUAGAUCUGAACCGCAGAAUUCUAAAAAAGUCAUUGAGUGUAAAUUAUGUAGUAUAGCACAAUAAUCCCAAAUAAACAGCUCAAGGGGAGGUCACAGGGGCUUACAUGUCUUUACACUAAUGCACAGAGCAUGGGAAAUAAGCAAGACGAACUCCAGCUUUUAGCACAGCACCACACGUACAACGUCAUAGGCAUCACUGAAACCUGGUGGGAUGACUCCCAUCACUGGAAUGUAGCCAUUGAGGGCUACAACCUCUUUCACAGAAAUAGAACAAAGGGGAGAGGAGGGGGAGUAGCUUUAUAUGUCAAAAACAGUUAUGUUGCAGAAGAAAUGCAGGACUGUAAUCUGGGAAACCAGCUUGAAAGCAUCUGGAUAAGAAUCAAGGGAACCAGGACUCAAAAAGAUCUCGUCGUGGGUGUCUACUACAGACCUCCGAACCAGGAUAUAGAAGUUGAUGAAGCCUUUUGUCAACAGCUGACCAAACAGGCACAAAGAAGAGAUGUAGUAGUCAUGGGCGACUUCAACUAUCCUGGUAUCUGCUGGAAAACAAACUUGGCCAAGAGCACUAAGUCCAACAAAUUCCUCACUUGCCUUGCAGACAAUUUUAUGGUCCAGAGGGUAGAGGAGGCAACAAGGGGAUCAGCAACUCUUGAUCUAAUCUUAACAAAUGUGGAAGACCUGAUCAAUACAGUAGAAGUCGUCGGAUCCUUAGGGGCAAGUGACCAUGUGCUCCUGCAGUUUGUGAUACAAUGGAAGGCUGAAACUAAGACAAGUCAAACACGCAUUCUCGACUUUAAGAGAGCUCACUUCCAAAAAAUGAAGGAAAUACUGAGCAGCAUUCCAUGGACGCCAAUAUUAAAAGACAAGGGAGUUAACAAUGGAUGGGAGUUUUUUAAAAGUGAAAUACUCAAGGCGCAAAUGCAAACAGUGCCAACAAAGAAAAAAAAUAUGGCACAUGCAAAGAAGCCAGAAUGGAUGUCUAAAGAACUUCUAACUGAGCUAAAACUCAAAAGUGACAUGCACAAGAAGUGGAAAAGGGGAGAAAUCACCAAAGAAGAAUUCAAAUGUAUAGCCAACACCUGUAGGGAAAAGGUUCGCAAGGCUAAAGCGCAAAAUGAGCUCAGGCUUGCCAGGGACAUUAAAAACAACAAAAAUGGGUUUUUUGCUUACGUUGGUAGAAAAAGGAAGAAAAAGGAGGUGAUAGGGCUUCUGCGAGGAGAAGAUGGGGUGAUGGCGACAGGGGACAGGGAAAAGGCAGAACUGCUUAAUGCCUUCUUUGCCUCGGUCUUCUCACAAAAAGAAAGCCAUCUUCAACCUCAGCAACAUGAAAUGGACGAAGGAUUUGGGGAAAUCCAACCCCAAAUAGGGAAACAAGUUGUCCAGGAACACCUGGCCACUCUAAACGAAUUCAAGUCGCCAGGGCCAGAUCAACUACAUCCAAGAGUACUGAAGGAACUAGCGGAAGUUAUUUCAGAACCACUGGCGAUCAUAUUUGAGAGUUCUUGGAGAAUGGGAGAAGUCCCAGCAGAUUGGAGGAGGGUGAAUGUGGUCCCUAUCUUCAAGAAGGGAAAAAAGAACGACCCAAACAAUUACCGUCCGGUCAGCCUCAUGUCGAUACCAGGCAAGAUUCUGGAAAAGAUCAUUAAGGAAGUGGUCUGCAAACACUUAGAAACAGAUGCAGUCAUUGCUAAUACAAUGACCGCAUUUGUUUCUAAGUGUUCGCAGACCACUUCCUUAAUGAUCUUUUCCAGAAUUUUGCCUGGUAUUGAUGUGAGGCUGACCGGACGGUAAUUGUUUGGGUCGUUCUUUUUUCCCUUCUUGAAGAUAGGGACCACAUUCGCCCUCUUAACAAGCAACUAAACUUCUAAGAGAAGUAAUGUAGACUAAUGUUAAAAGUGCUAAAUUUGAAAUAAUUUGGGCUAUGAAAUUCUGCCACCUUGGGCCCCACUCCAGGAGAAAGUCAGCAUUGAAAUGAAAUGAAAUAAAUACAUUUGCCAUGUGGCUUUGUGCCAUCUAUCAGAAAAUCCAUCUUAUUAUGUUGUUAUGUGGAUUAAUAGCAAGAUAGGAACCAUGCCAAACAUGCCCUGGUACGGGAAUAAUAUCCAUGUGGCCAAUAUCACACUAAGUAGUGUAACUGACACCGUCCACUUUAAAGCAGGGCUUCUUAACCUUUUUUGUUCUGGAGAACCCUUUGCCAGUGAGUUGAAAAUCAAAAAUUCCAUCCCAGAAUGGAGUGGCUGAUAGGUUUUUGACACUCAAUGUCUU